AUGUGUAUUCCCAAGAAAGAAGGGGGUAUGGGCUUCAGAGAUAUUCACUGCUUCAAUCUUGCACUUUUGGCAAAACAGGCAUGGCGCCUUAUUGACAACCUGGACUCUUUGUGUGUUUUGAUCCUUAAGGCGAAAUAUUUUCCUGAUGGAGAUCUCAUGAAUGCAACUUUAAGAAAGAAGGCUUCAUAUACAUGGCGGAGUAUUAUGGCCGGAGUUGAUACGCUCAGACGUGGGUAUAUUUGGAGAGUUGGUGAUGGUGAGAAAAUUAGCAUAUGGGAUGAUCCCUGGAUACCCCAUAGCCCAACAAGAAAGGUGAUUUCACCAAGGGGCAACAAUCUUCUUUCUAGAGUUUCUGACCUCAUUGAUCCAGUGACAGGGAGUUGGGAUGAGCAGGUGGUUAACCAAACGUUCUGGCAAGUGGAUGUUCGAAGGAUUUUGGCCAUUCCACUACCAUUACAGGAGAUGACAGAUUUCCUGGCAUGGAACAUGACAAAGUCAGGGACUUUCACGGUGCGAUCU
Molecule: ribosomal RNA, 519 nt
Filed under: Triticum aestivum (bread wheat)
Lineage: Eukaryota; Viridiplantae; Streptophyta; Magnoliopsida; Poales; Poaceae
Description: partial small subunit ribosomal RNA
Source: RNAcentral